Neofelis nebulosa (Clouded leopard) is the source of this 4644-nucleotide RNA transcript. It is a transcript of the gene named calcium voltage-gated channel auxiliary subunit alpha2delta 4, with no coding region annotated. The transcript is spliced from 36 exons. The record is from RefSeq and is a predicted model, not a curated record. Lineage: Eukaryota; Metazoa; Chordata; Mammalia; Carnivora; Felidae.
ACCAUCAGCCCCCUCCUGGAGCCUGCUGGUCAGGUGGGGCGGCUCCUCUGUGCACUGUACUCUGUGGGCAGAGAGAAACCCCCACCCCUGCCAAGCGUUGCAGCCAAGACAAGACAAAGCUGGGGACCCCAGGCUUGCCAGGAAGGCAGAAGGCCUGGGGCUGUCCCAAGGAUCUAGGUGACAGGCAGACAGAGCUGGCGGUUGGAGACUGCUCUCUUCUCUCCCUGCCUUCACCCCGAGCCCAGCAGAGACACCAUGCCAGGACUCCCCAGGUUCCACUUAGACACCAGCGCCCCCCACAGCAGGAGGCCCUGCCACCAAUGGCCAGGGUCCUGGGCCUCCUUGCAGAAGACCGUGGUCAUCCUGUGCCUGCUACUCUCCAGUACCUCCCUGUCCCCCACACACGCGCAGACCGAGAUUCCUCCGGAAACAGUGAAGCUGUGGGCAGACACCUUCGGCAGGGACCUAUAUGACACCGUGACCAAAUACUCGGGCUCUCUCUUGCUGCAGAAGAAAUACAAGGAUGUGGAGUCCAGUCUGAGGAUCAAGGAGGUGGAUGGCUUGGAGCUGGUGAGGAAGUUCUCAGAGGACAUGGAAACCAUGCUACGCAGGAAGGUGGAGGCUGUCAAGAAUCUGGUAGAGGCUGCUGAGGAGGCUGACCUGAACCAUGAAUUCAAUGAAUCGCUGGUGUUUAACUAUUACAACUCUGUCCUGAUCAACGAGAGGGAUGAGAAUGGCAAUUACGUGGAGCUGGGGUCUGAGUUUGUCCUUGAAUCCAAUGCGCACUUCAGCAACCUGAUGGUGAACACCUCCAUCAGCAGCGUGCAGCUGCCCACGAACGUGUACAACAAAGACCCAGACAUUUUAAAUGGAGUCUACAUGUCUGAAGCCUUGAACACUGUUUUUGUGGAGAAUUUCCAAAGAGACCCGACACUGACAUGGCAAUAUUUUGGCAGCUCCACUGGAUUCUUCAGGAUCUAUCCAGGUAUCAAAUGGACGCCUGAUGAGAAUGGAGUCAUUGCCUUUGACUGCAGAAAUCGUGGCUGGUAUAUACAAGCUGCUACUUCUCCCAAGGACAUAGUGAUUGUAGUGGAUACGAGUGGCAGCAUGAAGGGGCUGCGGAUGACUAUCGCCAAGCACACCAUCUCCACCAUCUUGGACACACUGGGGGAGAAUGAUUUUGUUAAUAUCAUUGCGUACAGUGACUACAUCCAUUACAUCGAGCCUUGUUUUAAAGGGAUCCUUGUCCAGGCAGAUCGGGACAAUCGCGAGCAUUUCAAACAGCUGGUAGAUGAGCUGAUGGUCAAGGGUGUGGGGGUCGUGAACCAAGCCUUGACUGAAGCCUUCCAGAUCCUGAAGCAGUUCCAAGAGGCCCGGCAAGGAAGCCUCUGCAACCAGGCCAUCAUGCUGAUCACCGAUGGGGCUGUGGAAGACUAUGAGCCAGUAUUUGAGAAGUACAACUGGCCUGACCGCAAGGUUCGAGUUUUCACUUAUCUGAUUGGAAGAGAAGUGACUUUUGCUGACCGCAUGAAGUGGAUUGCAUGCAACAACAAAGGCUACUAUACACAGAUCUCCACACUGGCAGAUGCACAGGAGAACGUGAUGGAGUACCUGCACGUGCUCAGCCGCCCCAUGGUCAUCAACCAUGACCAUGACAUCACCUGGACAGAAGCCUACAUGGACAGCAAGUUAUUCACUUCACAGGCACAGAGCUUGAUGCUCCUCACCACUGUGGCCAUGCCAGUCUUCAGCAAGAAGAAUGAAACGCGAUCCCAUGGCAUUCUUCUGGGUGUGGUGGGCUCUGAUGUGGCCCUGAGAGAGCUGAUGAAACUGGCACCCCGGUACAAGCUCGGAGUGCAUGGAUAUGCCUUUUUGAACACUAACAAUGGCUACAUUCUCUCACAUCCUGACCUCCGACCCCUGUACAGAGACGGGAAGAAACUCAAACCCAAACCUAACUACAACAGCGUGGAUCUCUCUGAAGUGGAGUGGGAAGACCGAGCUGAAACCCUGAGAACAGCCAUGAUCAAUGGGGAAACAGGGUCUCUCUCUAUGGACGUGAAGGUUCCACUGGACAAAGGGAAGAGAGUUCUUUUCCUGACCAAUGACUACUUCUUCACAGACAUCAGUGACACACCUUUCAGUCUGGGAGUGGUGCUGUCCCGGGGCCAUGGAGAGUACAUCCUCCUGGGGAACACAACUGUGGAAGAAGGCCUGCAUGACUUGCUUCACCCAGAUCUGACCUUAGCCAGUGACUGGAUCUACUGCAUCACAGAUAUCGACCCAGACCAUCGGAAGCUCAGCCAGCUGGAGGCCAUAGUCCGCUUCCUGACAGGGGAGGACCCAGAUCUGGAGUGCGAUGAGGAGCUGGUGCGGGAGGUACUGCUUGAUGCGGUGGUGACGGCCCCCAUGGAAGCCUACUGGACAGCGAUGACUCUCAACACCUCUGACGAGUCCGAGCAGGUGGUGGACGUGGCAUUCCUGGGCACCCGGGCUGGCCUCCUCAGAAGCAGCUUAUUUGUAGGCUCCGAGAAGGUCUCCGACAAAAAGUUCCUGACUCCUGAGGAUGAAGCCAGCAUAUUCACCAUGGACCACUUCCCUCUGUGGUAUCGACAGGCUGCUGAGCAUCCUGCUGGCAGCUUUGUCUUCAAUCUCCAAUCAGCAGAGGCACCAGAAAGUCCAGGCCAGCCAAUGGUAGUAACAGCGAGCACUGCUGUGGCCGUGACGGUGGACAAGAAGACAGCUAUCGCUGCAGCGGUGGGAGUCCAAAUGAGGCUGGAGUUCCUACAACGCACGUUCUGGGCAGCGACCCGGCAGUGCGGCACUGUGGAGGGGCCAUGCCCAGAGAGCUGCCAGGACAGUAGCCUGGACUGCUUCGUCAUCGACAACAAUGGGUUCAUCCUAAUCUCAGAGAGGUCCCAGGAGAUGGGAAGAUUCCUGGGGGAGGUGGAUGGCGCUCUCAUGACCCAGCUGCUCAGCAUGGGGGUGUUCAGCCAAGUGACUAUGUAUGACUACCAGGCCAUGUGCAAACCAUCAAAUCACCACCACAGCGCUGCCCGGCCCCUGGUCAGCCCAAUCUCUGCCCUCCUGACUGCUACCAGGUGGCUAGUGAAUGAGCUCUUGCUGCUCCUGCUCGAGUGGAGUGCCUGGGGCUCCUGGCGUGCGGACAGCAAGGCCGAGGCCCACAAGCACAAGAAACAGGACAUGCUGCAGCCCUGUGACACACAGUACCCCGUGUUUGUGCACCAGACGGCCAUCCAGGAGACCAACGGGGCCAUCGAGUGUGGGGCCUGCCAGAAGAUAUUUGUGAUGCAACAGAUUCCCAGUAGUAACCUUCUCCUCCUGGUGACAGACCCCACCUGUGACUGUAGCAUCUUCCCACUAAUCCUGCAGGAGGCUACUGAAGUCAAAUAUAUCCUUCCAAUCCUCCACGAUAUGCCGGCUGAGGGAAGGGUGGAGGUGAAGGAGAUGUCACUGAGGGGCUCAGAUUUUGAGAAGCCGAGGCCAGCCUUCCUCACCAUCAGCAUCCCACCCUCCCCCACAGAGCAUUGUGAUUUGUUCUCCAGCCUUCCACCCCACUCCGACCCCCCCACCCCUGGGUGCUGCCUCUGACCUUAGAAGCCACUUGCAAGACAGCUGGUCCCACCAAGGGGAGGUUCUUCCUGAACUUAGUCUCUAGAAUCUCCAGAAUCCAUUCCUGUCAUGAGGUGUUCACCUUAACAGUGAAUUCUUCACAUAAUGCCUCUGUCAAGUGUGACAGAAUGCGCUCCCAGAAGCUUCGCAGGAGACCAGAUUCUUGCCAUGCCUUCCAUCCAGAGGAAAAUGCCCAGGACUGUGGUGGCACCUCGGACCUCUCAGCCUCGCUCCCCAUGCUCCUGCUGCCUCUGUGUGCCUGGGUCCUUCCACCCCAGUUGCUGCGGUGACACCUGCCCAAUCUGACCUCUGUUUUGAUGAGAUGGUCCUUGCAGAGAUAUUCUAAAGAGUCAACAACUGGUGUGGGAUCCACCUCACUAUACCUGGGUUAUCACCCAGGUCACUGUUCAUCUCAAUCUUAGGCUAAUGGUCCCUGCCUCCUGAGCUUCCUGGACAGAACCAGAAACCACUUCUCAAAGACCUUCCAGGGUGUCUAGUACCAUCCACCCCAAGUCUCGAUGGGCAUCCUCCCAUCCUUCCUACCUCCUCUUCAGGAGCCCAGCACGAGCUCAACUUGGACCAAGACAAAAGAAUUCAAUUCCAUCUAUUUUCCAGAAGUCCAGACCCAGCCAAGGGUCAGCUGUUUCUAAUGAACCUGGUUGGACUUUGGAAGAAUCCAAGAACUUAAAGGUACUGAGAAAGAGGGGCAGAAUGAGGCUAACAGCAGAAAAUGAGAUGAAGAACAUGCUUCAUCAACCUGAAAUACAGCUUUCUCAAAAUGAGAUGCAUGGUAGAGGGUAGCUCAAUUUCCUAGCUGCUACUCAAAAAAGUUGUGUGUGUGGAUGUGAGAGAGAAACAGAGAAAGAGAAAAAGAGACAGAGAGAAGGCAGGAAAGUAAAUAGUAAUGGGAAAAACUCUUUUCCUACAGGUAUUAAAUCCUUUUAUAUUACUGUGGUAUAUGCAAACUAUUGCCAUUAAAAAACUUCUAAAAAUGUCUUUACAAAGCUCUAA